This 227-nucleotide long non-coding RNA is filed under the name Lathyrus oleraceus (garden pea). Its description in RNAcentral is "Pisum sativum (pea) long non-coding RNA (PSAT_LNC026036)". The record is from RNAcentral. Lineage: Eukaryota; Viridiplantae; Streptophyta; Magnoliopsida; Fabales; Fabaceae.
AGACGGAUAUCCACAUCCCCAGCUGAGUUGUUUCUGCUUGUGAAUAUUGUGGGUCGUCCCCGGCAGAGUAGCAGGUUUUCCCCAAAGCAGUCUAUUUUAUCUGAGGCUGGUACGGGUCUUAUCCCCAGAGAGUUGCUUGAUUUAGCUUCCCCAGCGGAACUUUUAUUUCCCCAAGCGGAAUUUUUUGUGGAUUGAUUGGGCUAUCCCCAGCAGUUUACCUUUGGUUU